UCCCUUGUGGUCCAGUGGUUAGGACUCUGCACUUUCACUUCCAGGCCCAGGUUCGAUUCCUGGUUGGAGAA
Molecule: transfer RNA, 71 nt
Filed under: Bos taurus (domestic cattle)
Lineage: Eukaryota; Metazoa; Chordata; Mammalia; Artiodactyla; Bovidae
Also listed under: 4 other names
Rfam family: tRNA
About the family: Transfer RNA (tRNA) molecules are approximately 80 nucleotides in length.
Source: Rfam by way of RNAcentral